CGGAUAGCUCAAGCUGUAGAGCACUCGCCCUGUAAGCGAGAGGUCUCGGGUUCGAUCCCUGGUCUG
RNAcentral lists this transfer RNA (66 nucleotides) under Lingula anatina. It matches the Rfam family "tRNA". Rfam says of the family: Transfer RNA (tRNA) molecules are approximately 80 nucleotides in length. Their secondary structure includes four short double-helical elements and three loops (D, anti-codon, and T loops). Further hydrogen bonds mediate the characteristic L-shaped molecular structure. tRNAs have two regions of fundamental functional importance: the anti-codon, which is responsible for specific mRNA codon recognition, and the 3' end, to which the tRNAs corresponding amino acid is attached (by aminoacyl-tRNA synthetases). tRNAs cope with the degeneracy of the genetic code in two manners: having more than one tRNA (with a specific anti-codon) for a particular amino acid; and 'wobble' base-pairing, i.e. permitting non-standard base-pairing at the 3rd anti-codon position. Lineage: Eukaryota; Metazoa; Brachiopoda; Lingulata; Lingulida; Lingulidae. The record is from Rfam by way of RNAcentral.